This 439-nucleotide ribosomal RNA is filed under the name uncultured bacterium. RNAcentral describes it as "bacterial SSU rRNA". It matches the Rfam family "Bacterial small subunit ribosomal RNA", at positions 959 to 1397 of the family's 1533-position model. The record is from RNAcentral.
ACGCGUGGAACCUUACCAGGUCUUGACAUCCUCUGACACUCCUAGAGAUAGGACGUUCCCCUUCGGGGGACAGAGUGACAGGUGGUGCAUGGUUGUCGUCAGCUCGUGUCGUGAGAUGUUGGGUUAAGUCCCGCAACGAGCGCAACCCUUGUUCUUAGUUGCCAUCAUUUAGUUGGGCACUCUAAGGAGACUGCCGGUGACAAACCGGAGGAAGGUGGGGAUGACGUCAAAUCAUCAUGCCCCUUAUGACCUGGGCUACACACGUGCUACAAUGGACGGUACAAACGGUUGCCAACCCGCGAGGGGGAGCUAAUCCGAUAAAACCGUUCUCAGUUCGGAUUGUAGGCUGCAACUCGCCUACAUGAAGCCGGAAUCGCUAGUAAUCGCGGAUCAGCAUGCCGCGGUGAAUACGUUCCCGGGCCUUGCACUCACCGCCCGU